UACAGAGGGUGCGAGCGUUAAUCGGAAUUACUGGGCGUAAAGGGUGCGUAGGCGGUUGGGUAAGUCUGUCGUGAAAUCUCCGAGCCUAACUCGGAAACUGCGUCGGAUACUAUUCAACUCGAGGAAUGGAGGGGAGACUGGAAUUCUCGGUGUAGCAGUGAAAUGCGUAGAUAUCGAGAGGAACACCAGUGGCGAAGGCGAGUCUCUGGACAUUUCCUGACGCUGAGGCACGAAAGCCAGGGGAGCAAACGGG
RNAcentral lists this ribosomal RNA (253 nucleotides) under uncultured bacterium. RNAcentral describes it as "partial 16S ribosomal RNA". It matches the Rfam family "Bacterial small subunit ribosomal RNA", at positions 524 to 776 of the family's 1533-position model. The record is from RNAcentral.